Molecule: small RNA, 756 nt
Filed under: Pan troglodytes (chimpanzee)
Lineage: Eukaryota; Metazoa; Chordata; Mammalia; Primates; Hominidae
Description: processed transcript
Source: RNAcentral
GCCAUUCUCCUGCCUCAGCCUCCCGAGUAGCUGGAACUACAGACGCCCGCCACCGCGCCCCGCUAAUUUUUUGUAUUUUUAGUACAGACGGGGUUUCACCGUGUUAGCCAGGAUGGUCUGGAUCUCCUGACCUUGUGAUCCGCCCGCCUCGUCCUCCCAAAGUGCUGGGAUUACAGGCGUGAGCCACGGCGCUCGGCCGAGAAACCUGAACUUUCUAUGCGCUCAUUGUCCGCACCACGUUCUGCUCUGCAGGUCCCGGAGCUGAGGGCCCCUAAGCAUCACCUUGUGUUGUAGACUGUGUCGUGCUCAAGGCUGCCAUCUCCCUCCUAGAUUUCCAUCGUUGCAUUUACAACUGCUACAAAAAUGCCAGCACUCCAUCGACAUGAAGAAGAGAAGUUCUUCUUAAAUGCCAAAGGCCAGAAAGAAACUUUGCCCAGCAUAUGGGACUCACCUACCAAACAACUUUCUGUCGUUGUGCCUUCAUACAAUGAAGAAAAACGGUAAACGAGAUCCUGCGUUCACUUAUGAAGUGAUAGUAGUUGAUGAUGGCAGUAAAGAUCAGACCUCAAAGGUAGCUUUUAAAUAUUGCCAGAAAUAUGGAAGUGACAAAGUACGUGUGAUAACCCUGGUGAAGAAUCGUGGAAAAGGUGGAGCGAUUAGAAUGGGUAUAUUCAGUUCUCGAGGAGAAAAGAUCCUUAUGGCAGAUGCUGAUGGAGCCACAAAGUUUCCAGAUGUUGAGAAAUUAGAAAAGGGACU